AAAAAAAAAAAAAAAAACACUAUGCAAAUGCAAAAUUAAGCGAGCUGUCUAAAUGAAAACUUUGUCAAAUAGGUAUAAUAAAACCUCUGUGAUUGCCACAUUCCGAUUUCAAUCCUAUGUUUUCUACAUCGUCCAAGAUUGAGAUGUGAAAUUUAUAAUCGAUGUAGAAUAUAUCUAGAAAAAUUAAAGCUCAGCCAAAACUCUAUAUUCAAAAUUUAAAUAUUUUAAUUUAUGUUAGUCCAAUUGAUAGGAUAAGAGCCUCUCUCCCCUAUGAAUUAAAUUAAUUUUUUUUUUUAAAAAAAGGGGGAAAUUCUAUAUUUAAAUAUGCAUUGAUAUUCAAUGUGCUUAGCAAAAUAAUCUGCUCCAAUAUAAUAUCUUUUUUUUAUUUUUUGGUUAUUAUUGGAGUUUAAAUUUAAAAUUUUAAAAUUUUAAAAA
Molecule: unclassified non-coding RNA, 435 nt
Filed under: Hevea brasiliensis (rubber tree)
Lineage: Eukaryota; Viridiplantae; Streptophyta; Magnoliopsida; Malpighiales; Euphorbiaceae
Source: RNAcentral